ACAAGUAGCAUUACCAUACCAUACAUUAUGAAACCAUAGAAAACUAUCAUCCAAACAAGGAGUGAAAGGCAAGCCCAGAGAACGAGAUUGGAUUGAUUCGAUCACAGCUGGAGCUGGGUUUAGACAAGCAUGGUGAAUUGGAAUCUAUAGCCAUAAAUAAGAACGACACUUUUUGUCAAAAUGAGAAAUUUAGCUUAAUUAACCCUAUUUUGUUACGUUAAACCUCGUUAUUUCCAUUAUGAAAGAGAGGGAACUUGUGGGUUUUUGACAAUAACCAGAGUGGUGUUCUGAGGAAUCGUCCAUUAAAAGAAAAGAAAGAUAAUUUUUUAUGAGAGUUUAGAAGGCCGAGCCAGAAAGUUUUGGCCCACCAAACAGAACCCCAUUACCAGUACUUUUUCAGUUAAGAGAAUAGCUGCAGGUGCAGGUGCAGAGAGGGAGUUGAACGGAACAGAAGAGAAGAGGCGUUUUGAGAGAGGGUAAAGAUAUCAUAUCUCGAAGAGUAGACACACGAAUGCCAUAAAUAGAAAAUUCAAUAUUAUAUUAAGAGAGAGGAAGAGAAGAAAAAUGGAAGGUUGAGUACAGCGAAGCAGAUGUUUGUGGCUUUGUGCAGACCCACCCAACACGACACACACAUAUAUGUAUAAUAUAGAGAGAGAAAGUGCUGAUACUGCGAAGAAGGUUGGUCUUUGUCUCUUCAAAUUUUAAUGGACAACCUUGCCUACAAUUGACGUGGGUACCCACUACAUCUAAAUUUGGAUCCCCAAAAUUAGU
Molecule: unclassified non-coding RNA, 771 nt
Filed under: Hevea brasiliensis (rubber tree)
Lineage: Eukaryota; Viridiplantae; Streptophyta; Magnoliopsida; Malpighiales; Euphorbiaceae
Source: RNAcentral